CUGAUGUUUAUUUUUAUUCAGUUUCUUCUCAAGGUGAAGCUAACUGUUUGUAAAUGUCAAAAAGAAAUACAGUAACUUUCUAUUCACCCUUUGUAAGUAAAAAGGGUGGAUCCUUCCACUGCUGACAUAU
Small nucleolar RNA from Otolemur garnettii (small-eared galago), 130 nucleotides. The record is from Ensembl. NCBI's taxonomy places the organism in Eukaryota, Metazoa, Chordata, Mammalia, Primates, Galagidae.